Spinacia oleracea (spinach) is the source of this 601-nucleotide long non-coding RNA. RefSeq lists it as uncharacterized. Lineage: Eukaryota; Viridiplantae; Streptophyta; Magnoliopsida; Caryophyllales; Amaranthaceae. The transcript has 4 exons. The record is from RefSeq and is a predicted model, not a curated record.
UUCUUUUCGUGCCGAAUCAGAUUCAUGAAGUUUUACUCAACUUUCAGGGCAUACCAACUGUACAAAUUUAAUGAUGGGAUUUGUCCGAAUAGAGCGACUACGCAGGGGUUGAAAGGCUUCCCUGUAAAGUGUGCUCAACAAGUCGGUGCCCGCGAGUGUGGCUAUUACAUUAUGAAGUUCAUGCAUGAAAUAGUCACGUUACACCAUAACUCUGAUGAGCGGUUAGAUAAUGCUUACACUCCAAGAAAUGCGCCUUAUACCGAUGAGGAAAUAGAUGUGGUUCGUGAGCUAUGGGCUAAGUUUUUUACAACCGAGUAUUUAUUUACUUAGGUUGUUUAGACACAAAGAUGGAAGCGUUUAUAUCUUCAUGGAUUUGGCUAGGGAUCGAGUCGAUUGGAAGAAAGUCAACACGACCUUACUUAAGGUUUGUAAUGCAUGAUCUAAAGGGACCUAAGUGGCUGGAUUAGAGACAUUUGUUAGAUUAGCUCUCUAGCCUUUUGUCUUUAGUUGUUAAUAUUAGUUGUAAUUUGUUAGACUAGCUAGGUGUUUAAAAAUUGUAAACAUACGUACUAUAUAUACGCUUUGCUCUGUUGGGUUAAUA